CCUAAUAUAUUAUAUCAAAAUAUAUAUAAUUACGCUUAUCCUUGGUGUAUUUGCAUAUUAAAUUUUGGUUUUAAUGGUUUAAAGAUAAUUUUUACCUAUGAUUUUAAAUUUUCAUACUUUUUAUUUUAAAUAGUGAUUUUUUUAGUAUUUACCUUUUGUAUUAGGGGUAAAAGAAAUGGCCAAUUGAGGUUUUCCCGAAAUUAAUAGAUCUAUUAAAAUUAAUAUUAAUUAUUGAAUUUAACAAAAAAUUAAUAGAUGUUAUAUGCUAACGCUUUUAAAUAUCUGGUUAUUAUGCUUUUUGGGGGCUUAGCUCUUUAUUUCACUUUGAAGAAAAAGCCUAGUUAAAUUAAUAAAAGUCUUUUUUAAGUGUAUUAACUAAUCUAAUUUUUAAAUUUCUAAGGUUUAUAUUAUUAAUAUAAUUUAUUUAAGUUUUAUGAUUUUUAUAUUAGUAGAAAAGAAAACUUAAAUGUUUUAUUAUAUUUUACUUUUACUCUUUUCUUUAAAAUUAGUAAAAAUUUUGAAAGAAUGUUUACCAAAGUCUUUUCUAAGGAAUUUCUUAGAACCCUCUGCCCUAUGAAUUUUAAAUGGCCAUGGUAAUUUGACUAUGCUAAGGUAGCGAAAUCGUUAGUGUUUUUACUGAAUUCCAGCAUGAUAGAGGUCUCUUUUAAAUUUUUUUAUAGAAUUCUUAUUUUAACUUAAUUUUUAUUUGAAAAAUGUUUAAGAGCUUAAAAAAGACUAAAAGACCCUUGGAUUUUUAUAAAAUUUUAACCUUUUAAUGUUUAAAACUUUUAGUUUUAAUUUUUAUUUUCUUGGGGCAAGAUUUUAUUUGAAUUUAAUUUUACAUUUUUAAAAAACUAUUCUUUUAAUGAAAGUAAAAAUACC
Molecule: ribosomal RNA, 882 nt
Filed under: Hygrobates cf. norvegicus B LB-2019
Lineage: Eukaryota; Metazoa; Arthropoda; Arachnida; Trombidiformes; Hygrobatidae
Description: partial large subunit ribosomal RNA
Source: RNAcentral